RNAcentral lists this long non-coding RNA (901 nucleotides) under Homo sapiens (human). RNAcentral describes it as "HSALNT0104925". The record is from RNAcentral. Lineage: Eukaryota; Metazoa; Chordata; Mammalia; Primates; Hominidae.
GUUGAAUAUUUUCAUGAAAUUCUGUCUUACAUCUCUGCUAAUCCUAAAACAAAGAAUGAGGAUCAUUUCAGACGGAGUCUCGCUUUGUCAUGCUGGCUGGAGUGCAGUGGCGCGAUCUUGGCUCACUGCAACCUCCACCUCCCGGGUUCAAGUGAUUCUCCUGCCUCAGCCUCCCAAGUAGCUGAGAUUACAGGCAUCUGCCACCAUGCCUGGCUAAUUUUUUUUUUUUGUACUUUUAGUAGAGACAGGGUUUCACCAUGUUGGCCAGGCCUGUUUCAAACUCCUGACCCCAAGUGAUCUGCCUGCCUCAGCAUCCCCAAAUGCUAGGAUUACAGGCAUGAGCCACCGCGCCCGGCCACAAACGCAUAUCUAAUUGUUCCCCUUCCCCCGUUUUGUCUAUGUCAUCUUAUGUAAAAAAAAUGCAGAUUAACUGAGCCAGACAAAGGCAUGAAUGACUAUUUUUCCUUACCCUCCUCUUACAUGAAAAUUGUGUACUUCUCAAUAUCCCUACCCUUUCCCCUUAAAUUUAGAGCCCUCAAAAUUAUCUUCGGAGAAAGGUAUAGACCUGUCUCCUGGGUGCUUAUUCUUAACUUUGGCAAAUAAACCUCCUAAAAUGAUUGAGACUUGCCAUUUUUCUCGAUUGACAGAACACAUGAGUUCAUGCAAAGUUACUGUUGGAGAAGUUUUCCUGUGGUUGUUUUUUGGAACAUGUAAUAUGAAUGAAGUGAUCAAGAGUUUGAGCUGUGACUUACACUUUAGGCUAUAAUAGAGUAAUUGGUGCGGUUAAGACUUCAUCUCUCCUGGGCAGCUUUCUUGAGCUUUAGGAGACUGACUCACAAUGGAGCUGAGGCUUCUUCUGUCCCUUGCUACUGAUCUGUAAGUAAUAAAACUGCUUCACAUA